CAACGAAAGAUUUGACACCUGUAACUACAGGAAAACAAACUGAAAAAAAAAAGAAACGGACAAAUGAAAAUUUUAUAUCAUCAAACAGAUAAACAACACUGAAGGUAGCUUAAGAACAUGAAAUGGAUUUAAAUUUGGCCUCUAAACGGAAUUUAAUUCAGAUUUUCAUUAUUUCAGCUUAACCGUGAAACUGCCCCCUCUCCAAUAAAAACCACUAACUAAAGAAUGAAACGAC
This 235-nucleotide long non-coding RNA is filed under the name Mytilus galloprovincialis (Mediterranean mussel). The record is from RNAcentral. Lineage: Eukaryota; Metazoa; Mollusca; Bivalvia; Mytilida; Mytilidae.